UAUUUUAGCUGUGGGUCCUUCUAGCUGUGGCAUGUGGGACGCCGUCUUAGUGUGGCCUGACGAGUGGUGCCAUAUCCGUGCCCUGGAUCCCAACCAGCGAAACCCCGGGCCGCCCAAGCGGAGAAGCUCGAACUUAACCACUCAGCCACGGGGCCAGCCCCUCAGAUUUCUAUUUUCAUAUCUCCCCCUUCUUUUGUAAAAGAGACCUCCUUUGAACACAGCUCAGACUGCUGUUCUCCUUAGUAAGAUGAAUGCAACAUCUUUUAACUUGUUUCAUUUUUAGAACUAUUUUUAGUUUAUCUAAUUGUAAUAAUCUUUGCAUUUCGUCAGCAUGAACCAGAAUUUCUGUAGAAUCAUAUUACCUGACAAAUGAGUGAGAACACCUCCUUAAACUGCCAUGUUACUUCUCACGAAUGAUGCUUGCUAUCUUGAAUGCUGGUUGUCUCCAUAGGCGGAUGCUGCCAGGUGAGCCCACUGAUUGGCUGGUGGAUUAUAGCCCUUUGUGGAGAGGGGCAGGUCUUCCAUCUGGGAGUUUGGGUUUAAUCUACACGAGGAGUGGGAAACGUGCCCACAACCGUUCUGCAAACUGUGAAGGGGCCUCCCCUCGGGCGGCCUGCAGGAGCUCCCCUCCGUCCUCCAAGGGCAGGCUGGCUCUCGCCAGGGACGCGGCUGCGAGGCCCGGGCUGCCUGGCCCCCUUUCCUUUCCCUUCCUCUCUCCUCCCCAACUGCUGCUCCCCGCAGGCCCAGUGAUUCUGUCUUGAGACUCAGACUGACCAGACUGGGGCCCACAAAGCAUGUGAGUAGAUGGCAAUGACCCUUCUCAACCUGCCCGAACCCCAAGGGUCUGAUCCUGGCUCCUGGCCCUUUGCUAGGGGGAGAAGGAAAGCCUCAGCCUGUGACUUGAGUUUUGGGGUGGUCUUUGCAAUCAAUGUGCACGAACCGACAAUGUCACCAAUGAUGCAUCUGGUUUCCAGGAUUGUUGGCACAUUAUUACAAUUCCCAUGUAUGAUUCCGAUGAGAACUGGAGAGAGCCGACAAAGGAAACAGACAACUACGCUGUUUUCAUGUUCGCUUCCUUCCUGGAGAAGAGGUUUCUAGUUUCUCUGCGGAUCACCAAGAGCUGUCACGUCUCACGGAUCCAGCUUCCCCCACUGCUCAGGCGCCACGAGUAAUUUGCCAGCCUGUCUGAAAGAGGUGAGGACAGGAGACGGAUCUCUGACAACACAGCACACGUCAAAAAGCUAUGUGAUGGCUGCAAAUGGCUCCGACCUGCUGUCCUCCAACACAGGAGCAAACUUCCAGGGACAGAAACGCAUCCCAAGACGAAAUCGGAACCCUGGACACACGCUACGUUCAUGAAACAGAAUACUGAAUUCUGCUUCAUCCCACACCGGGCACCAUGUCCUACGAGCCUGGUGUUCAUGCAAUUCGUGUGACGUAUUAAUCAACGACAUCCUGAGGUGCCAGGCAGCCAGCUGUCCCCAGCAGGUUCCACAGCCUGACAGGUGGCCCACCACUCCAGCACACGGCAACACCUGUUCUUCACGAGACUCUUUACCCAGGCCCUCUCCCGAAACUCAAGGGAAUUUUCUUCAACUCUGUGUAGAAGUCAUUCCAUUUUCCUUCACUAUGCAAGAAGAUAGUUCAUAUUUCAGAUCUCUGUUGGGCGUUGUUCGGGAGGCAAAGAUGGACGGGAUGUUUUUGAUCCCCUAGCAGAGAGAGAGGGUGGCUGUGGCCUGUAAGCAAUGAGACCACAGGGCAGCCCCCGCAGCUGCCCUCUGCUCAUUGAGCCGCCUGCUGUGCAGCUGGACAACACCAGGGCCUGCGUUAGACAGUGAACUUACUGCUGCGGAAGGCCACCCCUAACCUAAAAACCACACCGUCUCAGAUGGCGGGUUAACGCCAUCCAUAGCCUGUCUGAGACCAUUUGGGCAGCAAAGUCAAGACGACAGUAUUUAACUGAUUCUUUUUUUUAACUUUUAAGGGACUAGGUCAUUAAAAGAAAGGUCUUAUCUCAGAAUUUCAUUAUUUUAUCUAUGAUUAUUUGAAGAUACAAGUUUACAUAUUUAGAUAAGUUAGCCCCAGUGGCAUAAAUAAAAGAGCCAGUUACAGAUCCUGAACUAUGUUGAUCAUAAAGAGCACAGGACCAGCACUGUGGACUGUGAAAAGGCCGUGCACAGAAUGCCUUGGGAAGUUUGCCCUGAAUUUGGAAUCUAUAAAUGACUCUGUUUAUUAAAAGUGUAAUUAUAGUGGCUACACCACAGCAAUUCAGUAUUUCUAUAUGCUCAAAUGCAACUCAAAAUUCAGGUGUUACUGUGAGUUUGAACUAGGGCAAAAUGGUAACCUACAAUUUAAAAUAGAACGCAGCCAAGACAUGGUGAAAUGAAUCUCGAAGUUCUUCAUUAAAAGGCACCUUAAUGAAACUGAACUAGGCCACGGGGCAGAGGGAUUUCUAACUGUAAAAUGAGCCAACGCAGGUCAUCACAUUGACAAACAGGAGGAACAUCUGAUUCUGAAGACCAGAGCCAGUGUGACCACAAUCACCGCAGGCAAAGCUCUUGACCAGGCCCCGAGACAGAAGGCCGCGAAGACUGCGAGCUUCCAGGACCGAGGACCGACGGGAACCUCAGCACGUCAUUAUGUGCAUCCUUCACAGAGCGUCUGCUGCUGUUCACAGCCGCGCCGGUGGUGGAACCGAGCCUCCUCUCCAGAACACUGCUAAAACCCUCGCCCUGAUGCUCGGGGUCCUCUGCGGAGGCAGCGCGUCGAAGAGCAGCAGCCCUGACUUUCUGGGCUGAGUGGGUCAUAAGAGCUGCAGAGUGAGAGAAGGAAGACUCCGGUGCAGCCCCUCCCUGCCGCCCUUGGGGGACCCGCAGAGCAGGGGAGCUGUAUUUAACGACUUGCAAAAUUCCUGAAAAUUUAACAAUUGGCUUUUGCGAACAGACAUGAACGCUAACAGCACCGCUUGUGAAAUGAGUACCACUCUCCCCAUUUGACCCUAAGAGGAAACUGAGGAAGAGAGGAGUCUGGCAAUCUGUCUGAGGUCCUAUAACUUGUGAGGGGCUGAGCCCAGGCUGCAAACCUUUCUGCUUCUCCGGUGGGGAAUUUCCGCCAUAAACCAGCCCUCAGUGACCGCAGAUCCUCAUCUGUUUACGUUCUAAUUACCGCUUGUAGCAAAACCUGGUCUGGAUCUUUGUGGGGGAGGGUAGCUUUGGGGAGGGGUGGGUGAUUCCAGCCUGGACGGUGAAGGCUGGUUGGAGGGGGACCUCAGGAAGCACUGGUUCUCUCCCCCUGUGCACCCAGCAGGGGCGGUGUGGGAACUCAAGCUAAGACACAGACUCCUGUGGAAUAUUCUCUGGGGAGAACAGCAAUGUGAACUUACUUCCUAUUAAAUUAAUGUAAGCAUAAGAUGUCAUUUCUGGCUAAGAUGAAUAUAUUUUUAUAAAUACAGUUAUUUGGGCUAAAACUGUAUUUUGUCCAGAGUCUUCACAGAGAUUUCUGAGUGGGUCAUAAUUCUCAGUGAGAAAGACACAAUAUUUUAUCACUCAAGCAAAGAGUUUGUUAUGAGUAUUAACUAAAUAUUGCUGGUCAUAACCAUUACCGACAUUAAACUGACAAUGGCAAAUUACUUUCCGACUUUUAGUGAUUCUCAUUUUAUGUAUGUAUUUUGAAAUAAUAAUUAUUAUUCUAAAAUUUAAAACAUAGUAAUAUAUAUCCUAC
Long non-coding RNA from Equus caballus (horse), 3720 nucleotides. The record is from Ensembl. Lineage: Eukaryota; Metazoa; Chordata; Mammalia; Perissodactyla; Equidae.